UUAGCCUGAUCUAACCCUGGAAGGCAGUCCUCCAUGAACACACCCUCUCAUUUGGUAUUGUUCAGGCCUGAGAUAUAAAGGAAAGUAGCGACAAGAUUUUACACGUUCCUCAUUCAGGUUGGAGAAAGCCGUUUGCAGCAAUCUUGCAGAACUAUUUGUUUCCAUUACUGACAGGAUGGAGUCAGCCAUAACUAAACUGGUGGAGGUCUUCACGAAAUACGCUGGGAAGGACAAGCGGCUGGGGAAGAAGGACUUCCAGAAACUGAUGGAGACCGAGCUGAAGAAUUUCAUCACAAAUACAGAAAACAAUAAGGCAGUGAAUGAAUUAAAGGACCAAAUUGACAAGGACAAGGACGGAAAGUUAACCUUCGAGGAAUACUUCUGUCUAGUUACUCAGCUGGCGACAAAUAAAUACAAGCUGCAGUAAAGCCUCAUCAAGAUGUUCCCAUGGCACCGGCCCUGACCGACUGUUGCUCUUCAUCAUUUACUGUUAAGAGUUUUUUUAUUAGAUUUUUUUUAUUAUUAUUUUGUGAGCGUAUAUUGUAUUGUUGAUAUUAUUUUGAUCAAACAUUAUUCAUUGAUGGCAGUUGAUUAUUUUUUGAUGUUAGCCAGCAGAUUUUUAAGGUUUCCUAUAUCCUCACAACAUAUUUUAAAUUUAAGAAACAGAUAUUGUUUUAAGCUUCAUAAACAAAACGCAACGUAAAACAUCACAAUACAAAUGCUUUACACAUUUAUGUGGAUUUUAUGGGGUUUAGGUUUAUAACUUACUUAUAUUGCUGACGUGCCUUUACAGAAUUAAAGAGUGAACCAAUAGACGUUUGAUAAUU
Gadus morhua (Atlantic cod) is the source of this 827-nucleotide long non-coding RNA. RefSeq lists it as uncharacterized. Lineage: Eukaryota; Metazoa; Chordata; Actinopteri; Gadiformes; Gadidae. The transcript has 3 exons. The record is from RefSeq and is a predicted model, not a curated record.